Molecule: ribosomal RNA, 433 nt
Filed under: uncultured bacterium
Lineage: Bacteria
Description: partial 16S ribosomal RNA
Rfam family: Bacterial small subunit ribosomal RNA
Source: RNAcentral
AGCGAACGCUGGCGGCAGGCCUAACACAUGCAAGUCGAACGAACUCUUCGGAGUUAGUGGCGGACGGGUGAGUAACACGUGGGAACGUGCCCUUAGGUUCGGAAUAACUCAGGGAAACUUGUGCUAAUACCGAAUGUGCCCUUCGGGGGAAAGAUUUAUCGCCUUUAGAGCGGCCCGCGUCUGAUUAGCUAUUUGGUGAGGUAAAGGCUCACUAAGGCGACGAUCAGUAGCUGGUCUGAGAGGAUGCUCAGCCACAUUGGGACUGAGACGCGGCCCAAACUCCUACGGGAGGCAGCAGUGGGGAAUCUUGCGCAGUGGGCGAAAGCCUGACCCAGCCAUGCCGCGUGAAUGAUGAAGGUCUUAGGAUUGUAAAAUUCUUUCACCGGGGACGAUAAUGACGGUACCCGGAGAAGAAGCCCCGGCUAACUUCGUG